CAUUAACUAUAGACGAUAAGCAAUAAAUAGUUAUACCAUGGCCACAGAAAAUACUCAUAAUUGAUUAUUUAAUUCUGUUAAAUUCGUUUCUGGAUUCUGAUUGGUCAGAAGGUGUCAGAAGCUCGGACAGUGGUGUAGCUGCAAAUCACAGGUUUAUACAUAUUAUACAUGUUUAAACAUAUUAAUGCACACAUUCUAAUAUGUCAUCGUCUCCAUAGUAACAUCGUAAACAGGGACUUGUAUGACGGAAGUUCCACAUAAAUAGGUUAAAAACGUGUGCUUUUCUUGAUAUGGUGAAAUAUUCAGUCAGGAAACGUUUCUCGAGUACUUAUGGAAGGAGUCUUCAGUGUCAGCACUUUGUAACAAUCAGAGAGAGAGAGAAAAGAAAGUCUGGUGUGGGAACGACUGCUUAUAGCUGCUGUAAUGAAAGGAAACAACGUCAGGGCCAUGGUAUAAUCAAGAGAGCCUUCACUGAAGUAACAGACUUAACAUAAUGCUGCACAUGUCUCAGGUGUUAGCUCUUACAUAAUAAAUAAUGUCAUGUUAAAAUGAAUAUGUAAAAAAAGAAAAAAAAAAUCCUCUGAAAGCCCCAUGUCAGUGAUGUUAUCCAGUAUGUGAUUGUUUUGAGUAAAUGUUGUUGAAUUACAUUUAGAUGAGUCAUCUUAGCUGUUCAUCACAUUAAUUAAUGUCAUAAUACUAUUAAGAGGGUGAGUCGAAUGAAAACCAUAAUUUUUUUUAUUUUGAAAUGUUUAUUGCAAAUAGGUGUCACGAAACCAUAUCUACUAGGGAUGGGCGAUAUCUUAUCGUUUGCGAUUUACCGGUAGAAAUUAUCUUCACAAUAAGAAUUACGAUAAUAACGAUAAAGCCUAGUUGAUGACGUAUUUCUGUGUGUGACCCAUUCGCAGCUUAUGUGCAGAGCGAAAAUAAGUACGGUGGUAGGCGGACAUGAAGCUGAGGAGGAUUUCAUCGCUAAACGAGGAGCUACUGUACCUCUACAAUCUGGAACUGGAUUGGUUAUAGAAAAUCAGUUUUAUUUUUGGAUCAAUGUUUAUGUUUUUGAGGCUCUCAAGAUCACAGCUAUCACUUGUAGCCCAAAACAGUGGUGCAUGGUACUAUAUUUAUAUCGUCACUGAUAUCGUUAUCGCAAUAAAUACCAGAAAAUAUCAUGAUAUUGUUUUAAGUCCAUAUCGCCCAUCCCUAAUAUCUACAUCUCCAUUUUCUUCAUGUUAAGUGUUACAACGCUUAACCGGUGCAUGGAUCCCUGGAUUCACUUCAACUGGAUCAUUUCAGUUCGAUUCAGUUUUAAAUUAUCACACGUUUUUAGGUUUCUCAUUUGACUCAACCGCGUACUGUAUGAGCAAAAAGCACGUUUAUUAUUUAUCUCUUAUUUUUCUACUGUAGCAUUUAUGAGAAUGAGCAAACUGAGAAUUUCAUAGUACAACUGGAAGACAGCAUCCUCAACGUCGACCUGCAACCAGAGGAAAGGAUCAUCAAACCCAGCAUUCAGGAAAGAUGUUUUUAUUUUUUUAUUUUGUUAUAGAUCCUAUAAUAAUGUAAUUCUAACUUAUUAUAACAUUAUUAUCACAUUAUCACACAUCAAAUGCCAUUGGCUCCUUAAAGUCCUUAAUGCUACGGUAGCUUUAAUAAUAGCCUAGUAUAGACAUUGAGUUACUCAGUACUGACUAUUCAAUCUUCAAAAUUUGAUUUAUAUAGCGGUUUUAAUAGUAGACAUUGUCAUAAAGCAGAUUUGCAGAAAUCCAGAUGUUCUAUACCUAAUGAAAAAGCCAGACGUGAGAUUGGAAAGGAAAAACUCCCUGAGAGGGCAUGAGUAAGAACCCUUGACAGGACUCAAAUGGAACUGGUUUGAACACAUGCGCAUUCGCACAACCACACACACACACACACACACACACACACACAUACACACACACUGCACCCACAUGCACCCAUACUUGCCAUUGUCUGCAGUGCAAGCUGUGGCAGUCCAUGGGGGACUGCAGACUGCGACAGCUGCGAUACAGACACAGAAACAGAAAGAAAGACAAAAAGGAUGAAGUGGAGAAUCAAAGGAAAGGAGAAGAAAAAGACAAAAGGAAACAGGAAGAAAGUGUGAUUUUAACUCAGAGUGUAACUCAAAUUUCAGCCCUCAAGAUUUCAGCCCUCAAUACUGCCACCUGUGUGUUUGUGUGUAUGUGUGUGUGUAUGUUCCUCACCUGGAAUCAAACUCAUUUUGUAGACACAUUGACGGCAGUAAGAUUUGAGGUGUCCCUCGAGAUGAUGACAUCUAAUCAAAACACAUCAAAUUUGAACCUGAAAAUCUGAAAUUUCUUUGUUUCUUUCUUUCAUCCUUCUUUUAUCUCUCUCUCUCUCUCUCUCUCUCUUAAUGUAGAAAAGCUUUUUUUUACUUAAAGCAGUGUUUGUUUAAUUUGGCCUAUUUAAUGUCCUAAACAAACAUAUAAUUUCAUAUAAUUUCAAGCCAACAAUAGCUUUCUAGGUUUAAUUGCAGAUAAUUCCUCUUCUUUCAGUAAAAGAAUUAUUGAAAUACAAUCAAUAAUAUCUUUGUAUAUACAGUAAAUAAAAAAUUAUAUUCAGCAUAUAGAAAAUAUCUUGAAUAUCAUUUUUUAUUAAUUAAAAAAUGUGUGAUGAUUUGGACAUGUACUUUUGUACAAAGGUAAACUGGAAGCUGUGAGCUUAAUGUAGCUGAUUACCUGUUACACUGUGCAACCCAUCUCUGAAUAUACAGAACUUUCCCCACUUCAACAUUAAUUUCUCAGUUUAGUUCAAAAUUAGCUUUUGUGUGUAUGAGAUUACAUAUGAAGGCACCAAUGAUAAAACGAUCAGUCACAUUGUGCUUGAAUUCCAGAAUUUGAAUUUAAAAGUUCAGAACCUUCUUAUGUCAUAAUAGUUGAGAACAGAGAAAAUCUCGAUGAUAUGUUCACUAGACCCAUUCAUCGUCUUUAUGAAGACACCAAAAGUUAUGCGCCAUUAUUGUUUACAUUGUGUUAAUUGAAGCAUGAAAAAAUGCUUCAAAAAUACUCUGAUCUUUCUUUCAUGGGUAUUCACAGUAAUACAGUGAUGAACUUAUACUAAUUUAUUCAACUGAGCAUCAUCAACAUCACUUAAAUACUGAAAACUCACAGAAUAUACAUAUUAUUAGAUUAUUAUAUUAAUAUUUCAGCAAUUACUAAUGAGACAUGUUGAAGAAAUUCGACAGUAAGUUAACAAUGAAAUUCACUCAGCUGGGUGUUCGCCAUUACUCAAAGCCUAUUGGCCGAUUUUGGUCAUGUGACUGGAAUGUGAUCAUUUUUCCAUAGCAUGACUUUAUUUUAAAUGGAAAAUUCUUUGACCCUGAUCUUUCUAACAUCCAAGCACAUUUAUGAGAUCAUUCUUCAAUGCUCGAUCAACAGCCGUGGAUGCACAACUCCAAAAAUACAGUUUUGUGACUCUGAUCGUUUUUUCAUUAUGGUCUUCAUAUAUAUUCAUAUCUUAUGCACGUGACACCAAACUACACACAUAAAAGCUUUAUUUAAAAAACAUUUUUUCAUGCUAUUCUAUAAAAGUUAGUCCUGUGUGUUUAGAGGCGAGUUUAGAGGCGAACCUGCAGGCUGGACCUGACGAUGUCUGAGUGAGCCUUCUGGGGCAGCGCACGCGUCCUCAGAGACCCACUCAGAUCCUCCUCACUGCUGCCACAGAGCAACCGAUCACCACACACUGUAUACAACAAACACACACAGAGAGAGACAGAAUGAGAGAGGGAGAGACAGAGAGACAGAGAGAAAGAGAGAGAGACAGAGAGAGAAAGAGAGAGAGAGAGAGAGACAGAGAGAGAGAGAGAGAGAGAGAGAGAGAGAGAGAGAGAGAGAGAGUGUAAAAUGGUGUAUAAACUGCACUAUAGAUCCACAUUUAUACUGAAAUUAACUGAAAUAAAAUGGGGCAUUUGCUGUUUGUGUCUGAUAUUUAAAGGUGCAUUGGGUAAGAUUAGUCUUUUUUUUCUUGCAAAAUUAGGCCUUAGUUAGGUGGGUUAAAUUUUUUAAUGAUUCCCGUCCAUGUUCACAAAGCUCCACCUCCUGGAUCGAUGGUGGCCCAUAGGGUACAGUGCCUAUGAAACGACUGAAGGGAGGUGCAUCCAAACACAGACAAGCUUUCCGGACCCAAAGCCAGUUUUAGAAAGCUUUUUUUUCUCAGUGACUUAAUAAAUUUUUGCUAAAUCCAUGGCUUAAUACAUGGCUUAAGCCACUGUUUAUUUGUUUUUAAAUCAUGUUCUACAUAUCUUCUUGGUUAUUUGUACAAGUAAAGAAUAAUAAUAAAAAAAAAUCGACUAUUGCACCUUUAAAAAGUAAUAAAAAUAAAAUGUAUUAAUACACACA
This is a long non-coding RNA of Ictalurus furcatus (blue catfish), 4367 nucleotides long. RefSeq lists it as uncharacterized. Lineage: Eukaryota; Metazoa; Chordata; Actinopteri; Siluriformes; Ictaluridae. The transcript is spliced from 4 exons. The record is from RefSeq and is a predicted model, not a curated record.